GGGGGUGACCCGGUUUCGACAGGGGAACUGAAGGCGCUGUUGCGUGUCGAGGAUUCCGUUGGCCUCGUUAAAAAACGGAAAAGCCAUUAACUGGCAACCAGAACGAAUUCGCUUACGCUGCUUAAGCUAAGCCAGUGACCGUGUAGCCCCGCCUUUGGCGCCGCGCGAACUGCAACAAAAGAAGGCUAGCCCAGGCAAGACCUCAUAGCUGACGGCGAAAACAAGUGAGGAUAAGGAAGGGGGAAACCCGCCCGCUGGUGGCCCCUGACCCGACAACCAAACAGCGGGAUACACACGUAGACGCACGCUGGACGAACUUUUGGACGGCGGUUCGACUCCGCCCACCUCCACCA
The sequence is a non-coding RNA, 353 nucleotides long. It matches the Rfam family "transfer-messenger RNA". Rfam says of the family: Bacterial tmRNA, also known as 10Sa RNA or SsrA, is named for its dual tRNA and mRNA-like properties. Its role is to liberate the mRNA from a stalled ribosome. To accomplish this part of the tmRNA is used as a reading frame that ends in a translation stop signal. The record is from Rfam.